RNAcentral lists this transfer RNA (70 nucleotides) under human gut metagenome. It matches the Rfam family "tRNA". From Rfam's summary of the family: Transfer RNA (tRNA) molecules are approximately 80 nucleotides in length. The record is from RNAcentral.
CAAAUAUAGCUCAAUUGGUAGAGCAUUGGAUUUCCAUUCCAAGGGUUGCGGGUUCAAGCCCCGUUAUUUG